This 477-nucleotide ribosomal RNA is filed under the name uncultured bacterium. RNAcentral describes it as "bacterial SSU rRNA". It matches the Rfam family "Bacterial small subunit ribosomal RNA", at positions 43 to 498 of the family's 1533-position model. The record is from RNAcentral.
CAGGCCUAACACAUGCAAGUCGAGCGGCAGCGGAAAGUAGCUUGCUACUUUGCCGGCGAGCGGCGGACGGGUGAGUAAUGUCUGGGAAACUGCCUGAUGGAGGGGGAUAACUUACUGGAAACGGUAGCUAAUACCGCAUAACGUCGCAUGACCAAUGAGGGGGACCUUCGGGCCUCUUGCCAUCAAAUGUGCCCUGAUGGGAUUAGCUAGUAGGUGGGGUAACGGCUCACCUAGGCCGACGAUACCUAGCUGGUCUGAGAGGAUGACCAACCACCCUGGAACUGAUGCACGGUUCAGACUCCCUACGGGNAGGCAGCAGUGCGUUACUAAUUGCACAAUGGGGCGCAAGCCUGAUGCUGCCCUUGCCGCGUGUAUGAAGAAGGCCUUCCGGGUUUGUAAAGUACCUUCCAGCGGGGAGGAAAGCGUUUAAGGUUAUAACCUCAUCGAAUGGACGUUCCCCCCCUAAACGCCCCGGCU